RNAcentral lists this RNase P RNA (359 nucleotides) under Methylophaga lonarensis MPL. RNAcentral describes it as "Bacterial RNase P class A". It matches the Rfam family "Bacterial RNase P class A". Rfam says of the family: Ribonuclease P (RNase P) is a ubiquitous endoribonuclease, found in archaea, bacteria and eukarya as well as chloroplasts and mitochondria. Its best characterised activity is the generation of mature 5'-ends of tRNAs by cleaving the 5'-leader elements of precursor-tRNAs. Cellular RNase Ps are ribonucleoproteins. Lineage: Bacteria; Pseudomonadati; Pseudomonadota; Gammaproteobacteria; Thiotrichales; Piscirickettsiaceae. The record is from Rfam by way of RNAcentral.
UGAGACGACCAGACAAUCGCGCUAGCAAUAGUGAGGAAAGUCCGGGCUCCAUAGGGCAGGGUGCCAGGUAAUACCUGGGAGGCGUGAGCCUACGGCCAGUGCAACAGAAAGUAUACCGCCUGCAAUGCUGGUCAUUGCCGGUAAGGGUGAAAUGGUGCGGUAAGAGCGCACCGCGCUGCUGGUAACAGCAGUGGCAGGGUAAACCCCACUCGGAGCAAGACCAAAUAGAGGAACGAUUGCCUUGUGCAUGACAUGCGGCCCGCAUGGUUCCUGGGUAGGUUGCAAGAGGCAGAUGGUGACAUCUGUCCCAGAUGAAUGAUUGUCCACGACAGAACCCGGCUUAUCGGUCGUCUCAUUUU